UGAAUAUCUUAGAAAAUAUUUUUUUUAUUAAAGGCUGAAUCACUUUUGCCUUUAAACUGAUGCUCGUGAGCUGUUUCAUCGAAUCAAAUUUAGCUAGAAUCGAUCUUGAUAAGUUUUUAGGUUAAACAAAGGGCUCUGUGAUCAAGGCUAGUCGAUGUUACUUAGGUCAACCACAAAAUGCGUCGCUAAACUAGUACUGCAAGAGAGGUCCUCAAAAAAGUCAGAGAUGGAGUGGACAUGGACUCUUGAGUCAUAUCCAAGAAAUAGACCUCUAAAGUCUUCAACGUCUCUCAUCCUACCUCUGCCCCGAGGAAAGGAUAUGGAUCUGCAUAAUGUAAUCGGAUUCAAGGUGUACUGCAAGAUCCUACCAUACUAAGUGGCCUUUUGAUGUGAUUAUCUUAGCAAAGUUUGAACACCGACAUGAAAUAAGGGUUGCAAAGUAAAGAGCUGUAGCAUCUACAUGAACUGCAAAACUCAUGGCACCUGGACUUUCAUACCUAAGGUCUUAUUCAUCUCUUCAAGUUGAAAAG
Molecule: long non-coding RNA, 530 nt
Organism: Strongylocentrotus purpuratus (purple sea urchin)
Lineage: Eukaryota; Metazoa; Echinodermata; Echinoidea; Camarodonta; Strongylocentrotidae
Exons: 3
Source: RefSeq, a predicted model, not a curated record